Gastrolobium bilobum is the source of this 1391-nucleotide RNA transcript. RefSeq lists it as uncharacterized. The transcript has 3 exons. NCBI's taxonomy places the organism in Eukaryota, Viridiplantae, Streptophyta, Magnoliopsida, Fabales, Fabaceae. The record is from RefSeq and is a predicted model, not a curated record.
GGGAUUCAGAUUUGAGGGUAACAGUCGCCAGAGAAACCCUAACUCUAGGUUUUCUUGUUUUUUGAAUUUGUGGCUCAGCGUUCUUGAAACCCAGUAGUGAAUCAUCAGAUUCGCUCUUACAUUCGAUCGGUUUUGGAGAUUUUAAGGAAUACCAGACGGUUUUUUUUGUGAUAAUCGAAGAUGUCUCGAUGCCUUCCUUUCCCUCCUCCAGGUUAUGUGAGGAACGGGUCAUCCGGCGAGGCCUUGAUCGAAUCGAUUAAGAAGAUGUGAAUGCAUAAAUUUUAAUUGGGCUAAACCAAAAGCAUGCUUGUAUAGCUUGUUUGCUUCUUUGGUUUUUCGUAUCUUCUAUUUGAAAAUGCUGUUCUGGUGAUAUAAAGCUCCAAAAUGAGAAGGCCAAGAAAGAGAGGAAGAAAGAGAAAAGGAGGGAAAAAAAGGCGAAAAGGAAAGAGCUUAAAGUACAGGAAGGAACAUUCUCCCAUACCAGUGAUGGAACAGAGUUCAAGCUCAUUGAAUUGGAGAAAGUCAAGAGAGAGAAAAGCAGCGGUUGUCUGCAAAAGGGUGAUGACAAUGAGAAUGUACAACUAGAGAGGAGUGAUAUUACAGAGGAACAUGACAAUUCAGUUGCUACGGUGGGACCUUUCUCCUCUGACAGUACCCAGAAUAGCAGCAAGAGGAAAAGGAGCACCUCGCCAUGUAGUCAUGAUCAUGGAGCUAUGGUAAAAAUUCGAUAUUCAAUCAGAAAACAUAUAGAACCUGAAGAAUCCAAACUAGAAGAUCGGUUGGGAUCUUCUUCCAAAAAUGUUGGAACUGUAGAUCCCUUCGCUCAAGAUGCUAAUGGAAGAUAUCAUCAGUUACGAUGUGUAACAAAUGCUGAGAGAGACCAGUGCCCGGGAAAUUCUUAUUCUAGGCAUUGUGAAGAAUUACAGCGUUCACUCGAUGGAGCUGACCCGAAGACAAAUAUGAUUGAAGAUGAAAGUUCGAGAAUAUUAUCGGUUUAUAACUCUCUAUUUCAGAAUUGGGUUCCUCCUCCACUUAUGUGUGAUGGAUUCAAGUCAAUGGAUCAGGACUGGCUCCUCAGCUCGGAACUGCAAAAUGAAAGGCCCGUUUCUAAAAAGGCGAAACAUAUGAAUGGUGCCUUGCGGUGUUCAAGCCCAUCUCUGUGGCCUCGUGCUCAGUACUUACCCGAGAUUGAACUAUAUGCGUUGCCAUAUGCUGUUCCAUUUUGAUUCUGAUAAAGUCAUGUAGAUGGAAUAGACCGUAGUAUGUAGGCAGUCGGGUUAAUUGUAGGUGUUAUUUUAUUUGUUUUAUCUUUUUCAAGAGAAAGCACCCAUGUGACGUGAGAACGCCGAUUUUGUAAUAAUUCUUUUCUAUAGCAUGAUUUCACCUACAAU